UCCUUCUUUUUCCAGCGUUGUCCGGAAUUAUUGGGCGUAAAGCGCGCGCAGGCGGUUCCUUAAGUCUGAUGUGAAAGCCCACGGCUCAACCGUGGAGGGUCAUUGGAAACUGGGGGACUUGAGUGCAGAAGAGGAGAGCGGAAUUCCACGUGUAGCGGUGAAAUGCGUAGAGAUGUGGAGGAACACCAGUGGCGAAGGCGGCUCUCUGGUCUGUAACGGCCGCUGAGGCGCGAAAGCGUGGGGAGCAAACAGG
Molecule: ribosomal RNA, 253 nt
Filed under: uncultured bacterium
Lineage: Bacteria
Description: partial 16S ribosomal RNA
Rfam family: Bacterial small subunit ribosomal RNA
Source: RNAcentral